AAUAAUUUAAGAAGCUGAAUAAUCGGUUAUUAUCUUUUUAGUAGUGUUAAUCUACUUUCUCCUAUGAUUUGUUUAUUAAUGUUCUGAGUGAACGGCAAUAAUUUAAGAAGCAAACCGUGAAUAAUCGGUUAUUAUCUUUUUAGUAGUGUUAAUCUUCUUUGUCCUAUGAUUUAUUUAUUUAUGUUCUGAGUGCUUCUCCAUGGCAUCGAAUAUAAAUCAUCAUAAUCCAAUGAAGAGAGGGAAAUUUGAAAAAAAUGACAAAAUGAAACUAAUCUAGCCUAGAAAAAGAUAAAAAGACAAUGAUUCACACAAUACAGAUCUUUCAAAGCUGUUUGUUGUCACCUAUAUUUUUCAAGAAAGAACAGUAACUACCUUCACUGGAGUCUCAGUACUAUGCAUUUUACUCCCCAGAAAAAGCUACUAAGGAGGUUGAUCACUAAGCUGAAGAGAUUGCAUCCCCAUAAAUUGGGGCUAAAACUACUCGCAGAUUGGGUUUUGCCUGAAAGAGUGAACGGAGAAAACGCUCCCCCAGAAGCAUAGAACCUUCUACCUAGCUAAUCUGCAAUGAAAAUUUCCAGAUAACUUGUAUGGAGCGUAGCCCUAGUAUUUUUCCAACAGAUAAGAUUGUCAAAGCUGCCUAGGCCUGAAUAACUUCGAAAAUGUCAGAUUGUGUAUAAAAUUAUAAACCAUAUCCCCAGUUUUCUUCCAAACGCAUCAAUCAAGUAGAGGCCUACAUGGUUAGUGCACUCAAUAUGGUCCUCAGUUUUACCCAGGAUCAGAUCCUACCAUAGGGUCCCUCCAAAACACAAGCUAACUAGAAAAAAGAAAAAAUUAGUUUUCGUUCAAACAGGCUCCACCACCCAAUCACCAUAAUGUCGGCUUGAGAAGAGCCAUACUUUAUCCUAACCAGUGUUUUAAAACUCAACAAUUUCCAAUCCACAUCAUCGAUUUAGAUGAGAAUCAAUUAAGACAAAACCAGUUCUGAAAUGGUAUGGGUCAUUGCCAUUUUCUCUCUAAAACCCCUCUUAUAUUUGUUUAUUUUUUUAGUUUAUUUAACAUUUCGUCCCCUUUGUGUCCCCACCCUAUAAACCCCUCUUAUAUUUGUUUCUUUUUUUAGUUUAUUUAACAUUUCGUCCCCUUUGUGUCCCCACCCUAUAAACCCCUACAUUAAUUUUUGUUAUUUUUUUAACCUUUUUUAGAUCAAUGAUUUAGACUAAUCUAGACCCUCUGUAGAUGAUCAAUUAAAUGGUAUGGAACUGUGGUUGAACGGUCUGCUCCACCAAUCUAGGUUUUGAAACACUCAUUCCAACAGCCAAUUGAAGGUUAUGGACAGUUCCGAUUACAUGCCGCAAGAUAUUUAUAUGAGCUCGCC
RNAcentral lists this long non-coding RNA (1372 nucleotides) under Amborella trichopoda. RNAcentral describes it as "long non-coding RNA (ATRI_LNC004545)". The record is from RNAcentral. Lineage: Eukaryota; Viridiplantae; Streptophyta; Magnoliopsida; Amborellales; Amborellaceae.